This 154-nucleotide ribosomal RNA is filed under the name Porodaedalea pini. RNAcentral describes it as "5.8S ribosomal RNA". It matches the Rfam family "5.8S ribosomal RNA". Rfam says of the family: 5.8S ribosomal RNA (5.8S rRNA) is a component of the large subunit of the eukaryotic ribosome. It is transcribed by RNA polymerase I as part of the 45S precursor that also contains 18S and 28S rRNA. Lineage: Eukaryota; Fungi; Basidiomycota; Agaricomycetes; Hymenochaetales; Hymenochaetaceae. The record is from RNAcentral.
AACUUUCAACAACGGAUCUCUUGGCUCUCGCAUCGAUGAAGAACGSAGCSAAAUGCGAUAAGUAAUGUGAAUUGCAGAAUUCAGUGAAUCAUCGAAUCUUUGAACGCACCUUGCGCCCCUUGGUAUUCCGAGGGGCAUGCCUGUUUGAGUGUCA